RNAcentral lists this ribosomal RNA (252 nucleotides) under uncultured bacterium. RNAcentral describes it as "partial 16S ribosomal RNA". It matches the Rfam family "Bacterial small subunit ribosomal RNA", at positions 524 to 776 of the family's 1533-position model. The record is from RNAcentral.
UACGUAGGUGGCAAGCGUUGUCCGGAUUUAUUGGGUUUAAAGGGUGCGUAGGCGGUUCUAUAAGUCAGUGGUGAAAUCCGGCAGCUCAACUGUCGAUGUGCCAUUGAUACUGCAGAACUUGAGUACAGACGAGGUAGGCGGAAUUGACGGUGUAGCGGUGAAAUGCUUAGAUAUCGUCAAGAACACCGAUAGCGAAGGCAGCUUACUAGACUGUAACUGACGCUGAUGCACGAAAGUGUGGGAUCAAACAGG